GGCUUGUUGUUCUAGUGUUAUGAUUCUCGCUUUGGGUGCGAGAGGUCCCGGGUUCAAAUCCCGGACGAGCCC
Molecule: non-coding RNA, 72 nt
Organism: Epinephelus lanceolatus (giant grouper)
Lineage: Eukaryota; Metazoa; Chordata; Actinopteri; Perciformes; Serranidae
Source: the annotation of a RefSeq genome assembly